RNAcentral lists this transfer RNA (65 nucleotides) under Cucujoidea sp. 5 KM-2017. RNAcentral describes it as "tRNA-Pro". The record is from RNAcentral. Lineage: Eukaryota; Metazoa; Arthropoda; Insecta; Coleoptera.
CUUAGGAUAGUUUAAUUAAAAAUUUUAAUUUUGGAGAUUAAAGAUAAAGGUUUCUUUUCCUUUGA